CGCGUAGUUAGCCGUGGCUUUCUGGUUAGGUACCGUCAAGGUACGAGCAGUUACUCUCGUACUUGUUCUUCCCUAACAACAGAGUUUUACGAUCCGAAAGCCUUCAUCACUCACGCGGCGUUGCUCCGUCAGACUUUCGUCCAUUGCGGAAGAUUCCCUACUGCUGCCUCCCGUAGGAGUCUGGGCCGUGUCUCAGUCCCAGUGUGGCCGAUCACCCUCUCAGGUCGGCUACGCAUCGUUGCCUUGGUGAGCCGUUACCUCACCAACUAGCUAAUGCGCCGCGGGCCCAUCUAUAAGUGAUAGCGUAAACCAUCUUUCAGCCUUUCCUCAUGAGAGGAAAGGGAUUAUCCGGUAUUAGCUCCGGUUUCCCGAAGUUAUCCCAGUCUUAUAGGCAGGUUGCCCACGUGUUACUCACCCGUCCGCCGCUGAUAUCAGGGAGCAAGCUCCCAUCAAUCCGCUCGACUUGCAUGUAUUAGGCACGCCGCCAGCGUCGUCUCGUAGCCGA
This 505-nucleotide ribosomal RNA is filed under the name uncultured Bacillus sp. RNAcentral's name for it is "partial 16S ribosomal RNA". Lineage: Bacteria; Bacillati; Bacillota; Bacilli; Caryophanales; Bacillaceae. The record is from RNAcentral.